This 87-nucleotide non-coding RNA is filed under the name Pseudoxanthomonas sp. OG2. Its description in RNAcentral is "sRNA-Xcc1". It matches the Rfam family "sRNA-Xcc1". Lineage: Bacteria; Pseudomonadati; Pseudomonadota; Gammaproteobacteria; Lysobacterales; Lysobacteraceae. The record is from RNAcentral.
GUCGGGAGGGCGGCUAAUACAAGACCUCGCAAGAGGGAAUACGCCCGCCGACUCUAUGCGGCUUUCCUAACCUCCCGACACCCGCCU